RNAcentral lists this ribosomal RNA (253 nucleotides) under uncultured bacterium. RNAcentral's name for it is "partial 16S ribosomal RNA". It matches the Rfam family "Bacterial small subunit ribosomal RNA", at positions 524 to 776 of the family's 1533-position model. The record is from RNAcentral.
UACGUAGGGCGCAAGCGUUGUCCGGAAUUAUUGGGCGUAAAGAGCUCGUAGGCGGCCUGUUGCGUCCGCUGUGAAAUCCCGGGGCUCAACCCCGGGCCUGCAGUGGAUACGGGCUGGCUAGAGGCAGGCAGGGGAGAACGGAAUUCCUGGUGUAGCGGUGAAAUGCGCAGAUAUCAAGUGGAACACCAGUGGCGAAGGCGAAUCCCUGGACAACUUCUGACGCUGAGGCACGAAAGCUAGGGGAGCAAACAGG